Molecule: ribosomal RNA, 468 nt
Filed under: uncultured bacterium
Lineage: Bacteria
Description: partial 16S ribosomal RNA
Rfam family: Bacterial small subunit ribosomal RNA
Source: RNAcentral
GACGAACGCUGGCGGCGUGCUUAACACAUGCAAGUCGAACGGAAAGGCCCUGCUUUUGUGGGGUGCUCGAGUGGCGAACGGGUGAGUAACACGUGAGUAACCUGCCCUUGACUUUGGGAUAACUUCAGGAAACUGGGGCUAAUACCGGAUAGGAGCUCCUGCUGCAUGGUGGGGGUUGGAAAGUUUCGGCGGUUGGGGAUGGACUCGCGGCUUAUCAGCUUGUUGGUGGGGUAGUGGCUUACCAAGGCUUUGACGGGUAGCCGGCCUGAGAGGGUGACCGGCAACAUUGGGACUGAGAUACGGCCCAGACUCCUACGGGAGGCAGCAGUGGGGAAUAUUGCACAAUGGGCGGAAGCCUGAUGCAGCAACGCCGCGUGCGGGAUGAAGGCCUUAGGGUUGUAAACCGCUUUCGCCUGGGACGAAGCGUGAGUGACGGUAAUGGGUAAAGAAGCACCGGCUAACUACGUG